This is a non-coding RNA of Manis javanica (Malayan pangolin), 626 nucleotides long. The record is from RefSeq and is a predicted model, not a curated record. NCBI's taxonomy places the organism in Eukaryota, Metazoa, Chordata, Mammalia, Pholidota, Manidae.
CCAGAAAUCUCUGCCAGUUGAAGUGUGGCAGUUGGUUCCUUCCAGCUGUUCUUAAAGGGUCUCUUUAUCUUCCUGAUAUAUGGGGUAUACAACACAGAGGGAGGCUGCACCUGGAUUACACGCGGUUUCCUUUUCCAGUAGCCUUCAGGUAGGUUGGCAGUAAGACAACUUUUUUUUUUUUUUGCAACGGUACCUCUAUUGCGGUUUCCAAGUAGAUUCCUCUGAUAAAUGCAAAGGGAUACGCGCCCAUUAUUAAAGUUCACCCAAACUAAGAGGGGUAACAGAAACAAUCUUUUUAAAUAAACGUUAAGCAUUUGACGUUGAAUGCUUUUAGGUAUAACGAAAGGGUCCUAAGUGACCCACUUCUGGAUUUGGAUUUGAUUUAAUACCCAGACUGCAAACUGCAAAGCAGAGAGCGCCCCAGGCGCCAGGCCUCAGUUUCCCCACCAGGCCCCCUCCAACUCCCCGCCACGCUGCGAACCCGGCCCGCGCAACUUCCCGCCUGGGCUUCCCCCUGCCAGCGUCUUUCCCCCAGAAGCCCUCGCCCACGCCCGCCCCCUUCGGGGAGGCCCACCAAUCACGCCCUCCCCGCUCCGAGGCCGUCUCUUAGAGGGGCUCCGAGUCCC